Pangasius djambal is the source of this 79-nucleotide non-coding RNA. NCBI's taxonomy places the organism in Eukaryota, Metazoa, Chordata, Actinopteri, Siluriformes, Pangasiidae. The record is from the annotation of a GenBank genome assembly.
GAUGAGGUGGCUGAGUGGUUAAGGCAUUGGAUUACUACUCUGUUCUCCCCACGUAUGAGUUUGACUCCCAUCCUUGUUG